This 23-nucleotide non-coding RNA is filed under the name Rattus norvegicus (Norway rat). Lineage: Eukaryota; Metazoa; Chordata; Mammalia; Rodentia; Muridae. The record is from RNAcentral.
UGGUACUGUCAGCUAUCAGCUUC